UACGUAGGGGGCAAGCGUUGUCCGGAUUUAUUGGGCGUAAAGAGCUCGUAGGCGGUUUGGUAAGUCAGGUGUGAAAUCUCCACGCUCAACGUGGAGGGGCCACCUGAUACUGCCAUGACUGGAGUCCGGUAGAGGAGUGUGGAAUUCCCGGUGUAGCGGUGAAAUGCGCAGAUAUCGGGAGGAACACCAGUGGCGAAGGCGACUACCUGGCCUGUUCUUGACGCUGAGGCGCGAAAGCUAGGGGAGCAAACGGG
This 254-nucleotide ribosomal RNA is filed under the name uncultured bacterium. Its description in RNAcentral is "partial 16S ribosomal RNA". It matches the Rfam family "Bacterial small subunit ribosomal RNA", at positions 524 to 776 of the family's 1533-position model. The record is from RNAcentral.